CGUAGGGACCAAGCGUUGUUCGGAUUUACCGGGCGUAAAGGGCGCGUAGGCGGCGCGGUAAGUCACUUGUGAAAUCUCUGAGCUUAACUCAGAACGGCCAAGUGAUACUGCAGUGCUAGAGUGUGGAAGGGGCAAUCGGAAUUCUUGGUGUAGCGGUGAAAUGCGUAGAUAUCAAGAGGAACACCUGAGGUGAAGACGGGUUGCUGGGCCAACACUGACGCUGAGGCGCGAAAGCCAGGGGAGCAAACGGGAUUAGAUACCCCGGUAGUCCUGGCCCUAAACGAUGAAUACUUGGUGUCUGGAGUUUUAAUGCUCCGGGUGCCGUCGCUAACGUUUUAGUAUUCGCCUGGGAGUACGCUCGCAAGAGUG
RNAcentral lists this ribosomal RNA (369 nucleotides) under uncultured organism. Its description in RNAcentral is "bacterial SSU rRNA". It matches the Rfam family "Bacterial small subunit ribosomal RNA", at positions 526 to 896 of the family's 1533-position model. The record is from RNAcentral.